AUUGAACGCUGGCGGCAGGCUUAACACAUGCAAGUCGAGCGGAGAGAGGUAGCUUGCUACUGAUCUUAGCGGCGGACGGGCGAGUAAUGCUUAGGAAUCUGCCUAUUAGUGGGGGACAACAUUUCGAAAGGAAUGCUAAUACCGCAUACGUCCUACGGGAGAAAGCAGGGGAUCUUCGGGCCUUGCGCUAAUAGAUGAGCCUAAGUCGGAUUAGCUAGUUGGUGGGGUAAAGGCCUACCAAGGCGACGAUCUGUAGCGGGUCUGAGAGGAUGAGCCGCCACACUGGGACUGAGACACGGCCCAGACUCCUACGGGAAGCAGCAGUGGGGAAUAUUGGACAAUGGGCGGAAGCCUGAUCCAGCCAUGCCGCGUGUGUGAAGAAGGCCUUAUGGUUGUAAAGCACUUUAAGCGAGGAGGAGGCUACUUUAGUUAAUACCUAGAGAUAGUGGACGUUACUCGCAGAAUAAGCACCGGCUAACUCUGUGCCAGCAGCCGCAGUAA
Molecule: ribosomal RNA, 501 nt
Filed under: uncultured bacterium
Lineage: Bacteria
Description: partial 16S ribosomal RNA
Rfam family: Bacterial small subunit ribosomal RNA
Source: RNAcentral